This 29-nucleotide non-coding RNA is filed under the name Mus musculus (house mouse). The record is from RNAcentral. Lineage: Eukaryota; Metazoa; Chordata; Mammalia; Rodentia; Muridae.
UCAAAAUGCUUUGUCUGGCAUAUGCCAUU